UGCUUAACACAUGCAAGUCGAACGGAAAGGCCCUGCUUUUGUGGGGUGCUCGAGUGGCGAACGGGUGAGUAACACGUGAGUAACCUGCCCUUGACUUUGGGAUAACUUCAGGAAACUGGGGCUAAUACCGGAUAGGAGCUCCUGCUGCAUGGUGGGGGUUGGAAAGUUUCGGCGGUUGGGGAUGGACUCGCGGCUUAUCAGCUUGUUGGUGGGGUAGUGGCUUACCAAGGCCUUGACGGGUAGCCGGCCUGAGAGGGUGACCGGCCACAUUGGGACUGAGAUACGGCCCAGACUCCUACGGGAGGCAGCAGUGGGGAAUAUUGCACAAUGGGCGGAAGCCUGAUGCAGCGACGCCGCGUGCGGGAUGACGGCCUUCGGGUUGUAAACCGCUUUCGCCUGUGACGAAGCGUGAGUGACGGUAAUGGGUAAAGAAGCACCGGCUAACUACGUGCCAGCAGCCGCGGUAAUACGUAGGGUGCGAGCGUUGUCCGGAUUUAUUGGGCGUAAAGGGCUCGUAGGUGGUUGAUCGCGUCGGAAGUGUAAUCUUGGGGCUUAACCCUGAGCGUGCUUUCGAUACGGGUUGACUUGAGGAAGGUAGGGGAGAAUGGAAUUCCUGGUGGAGCGGUGGAAUGCGCAGAUAUCAGGAGGAACACCAGUGGCGAAGGCGGUUCUCUGGGCCUUUCCUGACGCUGAGGAGCGAAAGCGUGGGGAGCGAACAGGCUUAGAUACCCUGGUAGUCCACGCUGUAAACGGUGGGUACUAGGUGUGGGGUCCAUUCCACGGGUUCCGUGCCGUAGCUAACGCUUUAAGUACCCCGCCUGGGGAGUACGGCCGCAAGGCUAAAACUCAAAGGAAUUGACGGGGCCCCGCACAAGCGGCGGAGCAUGCGGAUUAAUUCGAUGCAACGCGUAGAGCCUUACCUGGGUUUGACAUGGAUCGGGAGUGCUCAGAGAUGGGUGUGCCUCUUUUGGGGUCGGUUCACAGGUGGUGCAUGGCUGUCGUCAGCUCGUGUCGUGAGAUGUUGGGUUAAGUCCCGCAACGAGCGCAACCCUUGUUCACUGUUGCCAGCACGUUAUGGUGGGGACUCAGUGGAGACCGCCGGGGUCAACUCGGAGGAAGGUGGGGAUGACGUCAAGUCAUCAUGCCCCUUAUGUCCAGGGCUUCACGCAUGCUACAAUGGCUGGUACAGAGAGUGGCGAGCCUGUGAGGGUGAGCGAAUCUCGGAAAGCCGGUCUCAGUUCGGAUUGGGGUCUGCAACUCGACCUCAUGAAGUCGGAGUCGCUAGUAAUCGCAGAUCAGCAACGCUGCGGUGAAUACGUUCCCGGGGCUUGUACACACCGCCCGUCAAGUCAUGAAAGUUGGUAACACCCGAAGCCGGUGGCCUAACCGUUGUGGGGGAGCCGUCGAAGGUGGGACUGGUGAUUAGGACUAAGUCGU
RNAcentral lists this ribosomal RNA (1437 nucleotides) under uncultured organism. RNAcentral's name for it is "16S ribosomal RNA". It matches the Rfam family "Bacterial small subunit ribosomal RNA". The record is from RNAcentral.